RNAcentral lists this long non-coding RNA (8240 nucleotides) under Xyrichtys novacula (pearly razorfish). The record is from RNAcentral. Lineage: Eukaryota; Metazoa; Chordata; Actinopteri; Labriformes; Labridae.
GAGUCACAUAACAAAACAGCGUAUAAAAAGGAUGCAAAAAAAACCCUCACACAUCAUGUAUAUACAAAUAGAUGGAGUGUAUACAUACAGAGGAAAGAGAGAAAAAAAGAGAAUAUGGGUAGCCUUUUCUUUAUGUUCUGUCCAACAACCACAAUAAGUUUGCCCAGGCUUCGUUACCUCUAGACUCAUCCACCAAAAGGUCCAAGGACCUCAGCUCCGAAAGAAAGACAGAUACCCUGUCUGCUGUAGAAAACCUUUGUUGAUCAUCUUUAUAUCUCAUCCAGAUUUUAAAGAUGGACGGUUUUGCUAUUGUUAGAGUCAGAUUUGUAAAAUAUCUGUUACUUGCUGAUGUGCACAGUUCUACUCUAAAGGUGAUAUUAAACUGAGACAUAAGUGCGGAAACCUGGUUCCAAAAGCCACCCAGACAACGACAUGAAACAAACAUAUGUUCUGUAUCUUCUUUUACCAAACAAAAAGCACAUAGAGGAGUGGGGACCAGCUUCCAUUUAUACAGGUUUGACAUAUUUGGAAGAAUUCCAUGUAAUAUUUUGAAAUUGUAUUCGGCCAAUUUCCUAUCUGGAGAUAAUUUUAUUGUUUGUCUCUGUCACACAUUGCUCCACAUGAUGUUGUUUGUUUGGUCGGCUAGUGCAGCAUACCAAUAUGUCUGCAUAUAUGAUGUCUUUAUUUUUUCUUUUAACAACAGCUUAUAGAUUAUCUCGCAAGUAUAGCCUGUCGGAGCAAUGUGUGCAUCAGUGUUGUCAUCUCUUAAUGUUAUACUGUUGCUCAGAAAUGGGAGCCAUUUUUGGGAAUUUCCUUUCUGAUGAUGAAUAAUUCGCUAAUUUCUCUUAUCCAGUUUUGAAGCUUUGGUUUUUCCUUUACAGAUAGAUCUUUCAAGAUAAAUUAUGCCUGAGUCAAUCCAAUGUUUGUAGAAAAGGGACUUCCCUCUAGAAUCUGUUUAAAAGGCAGAUCCCCAGAUGAUAUGGUUUCCGACUUCAUCUGCUGUACAUGGUUCCUUCACAAAACCACCUCCUGCUUUGUGCCAGCUUUGAAUAAUGCCUUGAUAAAAAAGUGGGAAUUCCUGUCAGAUCUGGACAGUGUUUUUUUUCUUUAAAGUGCAUUCUUAAGAUAAGGAAAUCUUUACCUAGUCUAUUUAAAUACAAUUUGGGUAGCAGUUUCCAAUCUCCUGAUGAUGUAUCCAUGAUGCGCUUCACCCAGCCAGCAUGAAGUGCUUCUAUAUGAGAUUGAAUAUCUAACAUUUUUAUACCCCUUGUAUUAUAAUCUCCUAAAAUAACAGAUCUUUUGAUUUUAUCUCUCUUUCCAGACCAAAGAAAGUCAAAAAACAAAGUAUUCAGCCUGACAGUCACAUUAUUUGGCACAUCACACACAGUAGCCCAGUACAUAAUUUUAGCUGCAAUCAAUGAUUUCAGAAUAGUUACUUUGCCAUAUAAUGUGAGAUUCCUUUGUCUCCAUAGAUUUAAAACAUGUUCUAUAUUAUUGAUUUUCUCAUUCCAUAGGUUCGUCUCACAUGAAAGUUUGUUGUUGUGGUGUGGCUGGUGAGCUGCGAGGACCCAGAAGCAGGCACUGAGACAGAGAUCAACUAAAGGUGUAAUUUUAAUGUCCAAACUCAGGAUUGAAAUGCAAACAGAGGAAGUCCGGAGGGCUGGUUGGCUGGCUGUCGUGUAGGCUGGAGACACUGCAGGAAAAACCAGAGGAGAAGGAAGUAAGUGAACAUGCAAAGAAUCACAAGGAGCAAAGUUAUUGAUACUCAUACAACGAGGAAGGCCAGGGGCCUGUUCUACGAAGCAGGAUUACUGCUUAGCGAGGUAACUUCGAGGAUAAGUUCGGGGUUUCCUGUUCUACGACGCGGGUUCACUUCUUAGCGAGGCGAGUCUCCAUGGCAACAUACGCUGAACGGCUUACCUGCUCCGGGGCAGGCUAAGUUCCAGAUUGAACUCACGGAGCAUAAAAACCCUGCCCACUGACCAAUGAGCUCUCUCGAAAAACGGCUUGUCCGUUCUUGGAGGAUCCUGUAGACCUCGGUGCUCGCAUUGUCCGAGGAGCACUCCGGCGCGCGAGAGUUUUCAGGGACCGCACGGACCCACUUACUUCUCCGGAUGACCACCUUUAUGAAAGGCUCAUAUGGCCGACAUAUCACACAAAACAUGUAAACACGAUAGGAAUGAAUACAUGAAUGAAUUCAUCUUGGAAAUGAAUGGGCAUGGGCUGCGUGAUCACAGACAACAUCUCGGUACUAUUUAGUAGCAGCGCAUGCCCCUUUUAAUAACCCCGUAAAUACUGUUGUUCAUGACUGUUUACUUGUGCUUCCUACCUACUGUAACAACUGUUGUUCUAGCAUACAUGCAAAAUUUUUGUUCUCAUUCAUCAAACGCUUAAAUCGGGGACAUUUUCGGGGACAGCUUUAGCCGGGGACAGAUCAUCCAAUUCGGCGCUGAGGCUGAGGGCUGCAGGCUUCUUAAAGUGCUUUGAUUGGAGAUGUGGAGCAGGUGUGUAGUCUCACUCAGCCUCAGGGACCGGGGGAGGGGCGGAAGCUCUGGAAGAGAGUGAAGCCAGACCAGGCAAACAAGGAAACACAGGAAGUCCAGCCAAAAUAAAACAAGAGAAGGAGGCGUCUCACCACAGUUGUAACCAAAAUGUACACCAAGUGAUUUUACAGGACCAGUUGGCCACCUUAUUCCACUGAUUUCUUUUCGCCUAAAUUUCCAGCAACCAACCCAAAUUGCUUCGGUUUUCUGUAAGUUCAAUUCAGGGCCUGCAACUUUGCCAAAAGAUGAUAUCAUUUCUAGUGCUGUAGUUAGUGACCUUUCGCCACCAAGCAGUAGAGUAGUAUCAUCUGCUACUUGUGAAGUUUUAACCUCAUGGGUAGCACUUCCAUCUGACAAAUUGAUACCUUUGAUGUUUGCAUUUUGAUUAAUAUACAGUGCUAGAAUUUCCAUGGCAAAAAGAAACAAGAUUGCGGACAAAGGGCAACCUUGCCUAAUUCCCCGACUAAGGUCAAAGAAUUCUCCAUUGUUGACUACUGCACUACAGUUUGUAUGAAUAGUUUGAAUCCAUCUUAGAAACAAACUCCCAAAGUUGAAUCUCUUUAGUGCUUUAAAUAAAAAGAUCCACUCUACACUAUCAAAUGCCUUUUUAAAGUCUAGAAAGAGAACUAUACCAGGAAUUUGUAAAGCGCCGAGAGUGUGUGGACCCAAAAGCAGUGGACGUGAGGCAAUUGUUCAGUUUCCAAAGGGCAAACUCUUUUAUUCCAACCAAAAGAAAACCCGGCAGGGUCAAAAUCAGAGCAGCAAAUAAUCAGGCGACAAAAACCAGUGGGACAGGCAAGAAUCAAAAAUCCAGGACGAUCAAAACAGGUCAUACACGGGAAGCAGAGAUAUGCGACAAAAACCAGUGGGACAGGCAAGAAUCAAAAAUCCAGGACGAUCAAAACAGGUCAUACACGGGAAGCAGAGAUAUAUCAAAACGCGAGAGAGCUUGUACUAAAGUGACAAAGACAAUCUGGCAGGGAAGAGCUAGUGAGGAGGGGUUAAAUAGAGAAGGGGACAAAACACAGGUGAAGCCAAUGGGGUAAUUAACUAAGGCGGGAAAAGGAACAAAGACCGGAAGUAAAGGUAACAGCAACACAGGAAAAACAGGAUCUUCAAAAUAAAACAGGAAGUGGAUUUCACAGCACAGAUCAUGACAGUACCUCCCCCCUCAAGGGGCGUCUCUAGACUACCCCGGAACAUCUGGAUUCAGUCUCUGAAAGUCUCUGAUUAACGUUUUGUCCAGAAUGUCCUUUGCAGGGACCCAGGACCUCUCCUCGGGCCCGUACCCCUCCCAAUCGACGAGGUACUGGCGGCCCCUGCCCCUACGACGGACAGCCAGCAGGCGAUUCACCGUGUAAACUGGGCCUCCAUCAAUUACCCUGGGUGGUGGAGGCGGGUCGGAGGGUGGGAGCAGACGACUUGUCCUGACGGGUUUGAUCCGUGACACAUGGAAGGUGGGGUGGACCCUCAUGGUCCGAGGAAGGCGAAGGCGAACGGCAGCAGGGUUGAUGACUUCUGAGAUGGGAAAGGGCCCCACGAACCUUGGAGCCAGCUUGCGACACUCCCCCCGAACCGGCAGGUCACGGGUGGAAAGCCAAACCUCUUGACCAACGUGGUAGCGAGGGGCUUGGGAGCGACGGCGGUUGGCGGACCUCUGGUACCCAAUGUUGGUGCGGAGAAGGGCUGCACGGGCUCUCCUCCAGGUGAGGUGACAUCGGCGGACCAAGGCGUGGGCUGAUGGAACUGUGACCUCCCCCUCGAGGUCCUGGAAAAGAGGGGGCUGGUACCCGUAGACACACUGGAACGGGGACAGGCCAGUAGAAGCCACAGGGAGGGAGUUGUGGGCAUACUCCACCUAGAGGAGCUGCUGCGGCCAGUUGGUUGGACUCCGGGAGGUGAUGCAGCGGAGAGCUGUCUCCAUCUCUUGAUUGUACCUCUCCGUCUGGCCAUUCGUUUGGGGGUGGAAACCGGAGGAGAGGCUGACCGACGCUCCGAGCAGCCGGCAGAACUCCUUCCAGGAGCGUGAGGCGAACUGGGGACCCCGAUCAGACACAAUGUCCUGAGGAAGACCAUGGAGACGAAACACAUUAAAUAAAACUGCCUUCGCUGUCUCCUUGGCGGAAGGCAACUUAGGCAGGGCGACAAAAUGGGCCAUCUUGGAGAAGGAUGACAGCUUAAUAGAGAGGAGUGCCCCCACUGCAGGACUCGGUAGCGGAGCGGGCCUGGGACAAAAAGCCGGCCAGGAGGGCAUCCCACAGGAAUCCUGGCCGUCAAAAGUGCUUGCUGGACCUCCCUCUCGAUGUCCCAGGUCACCGCCCCGAUCACACAGUCGGAGGGCAGGAUAGGAGCUGCAUCCUGGGGGCGGUUUCCUGCCUCAAACUGCCUGGACAGGGCAUCCGGCUUGACGUUUCGGGACCCAGGGCGAUAAGACAGGGUGAAAUCAAACCUGGUGAAGAACAGGGCCCACCUAGCCUGUCUGGAGUUUAGUCUUUUGGCUCCACGGAUGUACUCCAGGUUUUUGUGGUCCGUCCAGACUAGGAAGGGUUGCUCUGCCCCCUCCAACCAGUGCCUCCACUCCUCCAGUGCCAGCUUCACGGCCAGCAGCUCCCGGUUCCCCACAUCGUAGUUGCGCUCGGCUUGAGACAGCUUCCGGGAGAAGAAGGCGCACGGAUGAACCUUUCCGUCACCCGCAGAACGUUGGGAGAGAACCGCUCCUACCCCAACGUCGGACGCAUCCACCUCGACAAUGAACUGGAGCUUGGGGUCGGGCAUCUGCAGGAUGGGGGACAAGGAGAACCUGGACAGGAGGGUUCGGAAGGCUGACUCUGCCUCAGAGGACCAGGCAAAUCUCGAGUUUGAGGAGGUGAGAGCAUGCAGAGGGGCUGCUAUGUGGCUGUAGUUACGGAUGAACCUGCGGUAGAAAUUGGCGAAACCCAGAAAACGUUGGAGCUGUUUCCGAUCGGUGGGAACAGGCCAAUCCAUAACGGCCUUGACCUUUUCAGGGUCCAUCUUGAUCUGACCUGGUGAAAUCACAAGUCCCAGAAAAGACACCGUUGUCCGGUGAAACUCACAUUUCUCAGCUUUUACAAAUAACUGAUGAUGAUAAAGCCGCUGCAGCACCUGACGGACGUGACCCACAUGCUCCUCUUCAGUCUGGGAAAAGACCAGGAUGUCGUCGAGAUAGACAAAAACGUAAACAUUCAGCAUCUCUCUGAGAACGUUGUUAAUCAGCGACUGAAAUACAGCAGGAGCACUAGUAAGUCCAAAAGGCAUUACCAGGUACUCAUAGUGGCCACUGGGGGUGUUGAAAGCCGUCUUCCACUCGUCUCCUUCACGAAUCCGAACUAGAUGGUAGGCGUUGCACAGGUCGAGUUUGGUGAAGACACGAGCCCCUUAAAGCAGUUCAAACGCCGAUGAGAGGAGUGGCAAUGGGUAGCGGUUCUUCACCGUGAUAUCAUUCAGUCCCUGGUAAUCAAUACAUGGACGAAGGGUCUUAUCUUUCUUGUCCACGAAGAAGAACCCAGCUCCAGCAGGGGAGGAAGAAGGACGGAUGAUCCCUGCCGCUAGCCCCUCCUGGAUGUAUUUAUCCAUGGCCUUCCGCUCAGGCGCGGAUAUAGAGUACAGACGGCCCUUGGGUGGCAUUGUUCCAGGAAGCAACUCAAUAGCACGAUCAUACGGGCGGUGUGGAGGUAAGGAUGCGGCCCGGCCUUUGGAGAAAACCUCCUUUAUGUCCAGGUAGACCCUUGGCACCAUGGACAAAUCUGGGAACUCAAAAGAAGAAUCAGCAGACCUAUGGGGAACAGGCAGAGAGAGCAGGCAGGCUGACUGGCAGGCUAGGCUCCAUCCUAACACCCUGCCUGUAGCCCAGUCCAUCAGGGGGUUAUGUCUACACAACCAGGAGUAACCCAGGAUAAGAGGGUAGUGGGGGGAAUCAAUAAUCAGGAAAGAAAUAGUCUCUUUGUGGUUACCUGACAUCUGCAGAGACAGGAGAGGAGUCUGUUCAGUAACCUGUCCAAGCAGGUGGCCAUCGAGGGCGCGGGCAUGGUGCGCUUCAGGGAGAGGCUUGAGCUGCAGGUCCAGCUGUCAGGCCAGGUCCCGGUCCAUAAAACUUUCAUCAGCGCCGGAAUCGAUGAGAGCUGAUAGAUCCAGGACAUUCGUGGAAGAAGUGAUGAGCUGAACUGGGGUCAAGGCGCGUUUAGGUGCAGAGGCGCUUGCGGAGUGACUCACCAGUAGGCCUCUGGUUCCCCCACAGUAGAGACAGAGUCCCUCACGCUGGCGGCGACGUCGCUCCUCUAGACUUAGGCGAGUCCGACCAAGCUGUAUGGGUUCCAUUGGGGGGCUAGACGGUGUAAUUCCCAAGGCCGUUGCAGAGCCAUGCUCUCCCCGAUUCAGCCGAUCCACAUGGCCCGUUGGCCGGAGCUGCUCCCGUUCAUGUCGCCGGUUGUCAACCUUGAUAGCUAGUUCCACGAGAGCUUCGAAACUGGUAGGGAGAUCAACCAUGGUCAGUCUAUCUUUUAAAUCCUCAGAAAGACUCAAAAGAAAGUGUCAGCAAGGGCCUCAUCGUUCCAGCGACUCUCAGCCGCCAGAGUGCGGAACCGGAUGGCAUGAUCAAAAACACAGCUACUGCCUUGCCUGAGCCGACCCAGUGCACAGGCUGCCUCCCGGCCCGAAACAGGUUGACCAAACACACGGGCCAAAGCAGCAGAAAAGGCAUCCACAGAGGCACAAACGGAUGAACCCCUCUGCCACUCAGCAGUGGCCCACUCUCUCGCCCGCCCGGUGAGAUUUGUGAUCAUGAAAGCCACUUUAGAGCGUUCAGUGCAGAAGGUGAUGGGCUGAAGCUCGAAGGUUAGCGAGCAGAGAGUCAAAAAUGAGCGACAAGUCUCAGGAGUUCCGUCAUACCUCUCAAUAGGCGGAGCACUCGGCUCAGAAUGGUGACCCAGGGAAGCAGAGGGAACUGAAGGUGAAGAGGAGAUGUCGGGGCUCGAAGCGACAGUUUGCAGUGUAUCCAGGCGAACCAUCAGCUGGUUAGUCUGAGUAGCCAAGGCUUGCAGCUGGGCAGACAACGACUGAACUCCAGGGCCCAGGCUGGAGAUGGCCCUCUCCAACUCGGUUAGACGUCUUCCCUGUGCCCCCAGAGCAUGGCAAAAGUCCUCACCUGCUGGGUCCAUCAUGGCCAGAUUGUACUGUAAAGCGCCGAGAGUGUGUGGACCCAAAAGCAGUGGACGUGAGGCAAUUGUUCAGUUUCCAAAGGGCAAACUCUUUUAUUCCAACCAAAAGAAAACCCGGCAGGGUCAAAAUCAGAGCAGCAAAUAAUCAGGCGACAAAAACCAGUGGGACAGGCAAGAAUCAAAAAUCCAGGACGAUCAAAACAGGUCAUACACGGGAAGCAGAGAUAUAUCAAAACGCGAGAGAGCCUGUACUAAAGUGACAAAGACAAUCUGGCAGGGAAGAGCUAGUGAGGAGGGGUUAAAUAGAGAAGGGGACAAAACACAGGUGAAGCCAAUGGGGUAAUUAACUAAGGCGGGAAAAGGAACAAAGACCAGAAGUAAAGGUAACAGCAACACAGGAAAAACAGGAUCUUCAAAAUAAAACAGGAAGUGAUUUCACAGCACAGAUCAUGACAGAAUUUGCAUUUCAUCUAUAUAGUCAAUAGCAUCUGUAAUAAGGCGUACGUUUUGUCCAAUGAAUCUG